Molecule: unclassified non-coding RNA, 321 nt
Filed under: uncultured fungus
Lineage: Eukaryota; Fungi
Description: partial contains small subunit ribosomal RNA, internal transcribed spacer 1, and 5.8S ribosomal RNA
Rfam family: Eukaryotic small subunit ribosomal RNA (bases 1-73)
Source: RNAcentral
UCAAACUUGGUCAUUUAGAGGAAGUAAAAGUCGUAACAAGGUUUCCGUAGGUGAACCUGCGGAAGGAUCAUUAAAGUAAAUUAUUUGAAGUGUUUAAAAGACACUUUAAAAAUCUAACUUUGUGGUAACAAUGAAAAACUAGAUUGGAUUUAAAGAUGAUAUUUGUUCUUUCUUAGAGAGGACGAGUAUCGAUCCAAACUUUUUUAUCAACUCUUUUUAUUAUUAGACUGAUUUAUCAAGUUAAACCUUUUGGUUUAUAAAAGUUUUUAAAUAACUUUCAACAACGGAUCUCUUGGUUCUCGCAUCGAUGAAGAACGCAGC